Molecule: long non-coding RNA, 4620 nt
Organism: Cyprinus carpio carpio
Lineage: Eukaryota; Metazoa; Chordata; Actinopteri; Cypriniformes; Cyprinidae
Source: Ensembl
AUUUAAUAGAAUAGUAUUAUUAUUAUUAUUUACAUUUUGUUGUGAUCCAAGCACAAAAAAUCUAAAUAUUUUAAUCUAGAUGAUUAAUUUAAUUAAAUUCAUAUUUAGGCUCAGAACAUCAUAGAGACAAUUGGGCAAAGAGACAAUUUUUUGGUCAUUUUUUUGAUUAUGACAGGUGCAGUACCCAUUUACUUUUGUAAAAGAAAAACUAUCAGGAAAGCUUUCUGCUAAAUAAUUUUGUUGUAUUUUAUUUUAUUUCACUUCACUUCACAAAAUCACAAAAUUUUACUUCACAAAAUUAACUACAUGUUUCUCUGUUCAAGACUUCACCAGCAUGUCAUACUCCCACAUGGGAAAGUCUUUAACAGUUUUCCUGGAGGGGUGAUACCUGGUUUGUUAGUGAGAUAGUUAUGGUGUAAUGAUAAAUGGAGAGACUGAACAUGCUCUCAGAGGCACAGGUGGCCAGUGUGUGUGUGUGUGUGUGUGUGUGUGUGUGUGUACAUUAAAACUCAAAGCUUAAAACGGCAGAGGAGUACAGGUAACAUAACAAAAGAAUGCAGCAGAUUCAAAACAGGGUUGACAUGUCAGACAUUCUGCAUGGUGUCUCUGAACCAUCAGAAUAACAUUUGCAUAAUCUCGCCCAUGUUGCCUGAACUCUCUCUUUUAUUGUAAGGUAUGUGUGUGUCCUUGAAAGUGAUUUAGGAGUUGUCAGGACACAGGACACUCUGCACCUCCUUAUCAGCAGCCUGGUACCAACUGGAGUCUAUCCCCGGGAGGAAAAACAGGACCUUGUGUGUUUGAACAGGGCAGCACAUCCCCCACAGACGUCUGUCUCCCACCAUGCCCUGACCCUGGAUCUAUGUGUGGAACUCUCUCUACAUUUAUUUGUGUGGGCCUCGUCCUCUCCCAUUUCCUUUUAUUUUUUCACGUUCCAGAUCCUGGUAUUGUUGCUUACUAAAUCACGUCAGUAUAACCCUCAGACUGGCACACAGCUGAGGAGAUCUGUUUAAGGAAUAGCUCACACACAAAUGAAAAUGCAUCAUGCCAUUCCAAACUUGCAUGUCUUUUUCUUCCAUGAAACCCAACAGGAGAUGGGUAAAAGUAAGGGAAUGAAUGGACAGAUGAAUUCCUGGUCCUGAAUUGAAAUUGGUGCCACCUGGACCGGCAGAUCAUACUUGGAAGUAAGCAAUGGCAGAUUUAAUUAUGAAGUCAUCAAAUUAAAUGUCACAACCUCAUUUGAGUAGUGUCAGCAUAAAAUAUACAGUCCAAAUUAAAGUUCACAAACUCUGUGUCUUAAAGUAAAUAGACUGAAUGAAGAUAAUGAAAAGUAAUGCACUGUAUGAAAGGACGCUUUCAGGUGAGUCGCGUCACACUCGUUUCCUGCACUUUAUCGCAUUGCACGUUGCUUUUAUUUGUUGAUAAGCUGGAAUAUGUUUUGUUUAGUACAGUGGUCUCCAACCCUGCUCCUGGAGAGCUACCAUCCUACAGAUUUCAGCUCCAACCCCAAUCAAACACACCUGAAGCAGCUAAUCAAGGUGUUCAUGGCUACUUGAUAAUUACAGACAGGUGUGUUGGAGCAGGGUUGGUAGCUCUCCAGGAGCAGGGUUGGAGAUCCCUGGUUUAGUAACAUACUUUCACUGAGCUGUCAUCUUCAGAAGCUGUGUUUAAAACUGUCUGCAGGUGUUAAGCGUCAUGUUACCAAUCAUCUGAAGCUGUCAAACUGACUGCUUUCGCCACCCAGUGGAGCGGAUGGAAACUUACACUCCAGUUUCUAGUUUUAGUUGCAGACUAGCUCUGAGAUUUAAACUUCAUUUAUUUUACAACAAAAGAUAUGAUUUUGUCAUGGUCUCGGUCAGCAGAGUAUUCUACUAGUUUAGAUAAACGAACCGGAUCAGCUUUCAACUGAUGGGGUAAGACAGAUGAAAUGUUGUGCUGAACUCAAAAGCACAUGGUCAAAGUGUAAACAUAAAAUACAGAACAAAGUUUCUCUGAGACUCUUAGAUUGGUAAAGCAGAUGUGUAUUAGUUAUUUAAAUGAAUGUGUAUCGUGUGUUCACAGUUCAACAAUGAUUUUAAUGUGCUUGUGUGUCGUUGUUUACAAACUCAAGUAGCUUUUAGUAUAAAACUUGAUUGGAAGACAGGGCAGAUUUGGACAAAUUGUUUUAAAGCCUGUAUCAAAAUAUCUGUUGACACAUUUAAUCUAUAAGCUCAACUGAUAUCAUGAUGGUAAUAGUGUCUCAUGGCAACUUUUUAUUAAUAUUUAUAAGCAGAUGUAGGAGAUCAGAUUCACCAUCUCCCCUUGAGAAGCAUCUGGGCAGUGAGUUUGAACAGGAAGCUCUUAGUAAGGAUGAGGAGGAUGUGAAGCUCUGAGCUCUGGAUGAUCAUGAGGUUAUAGAUGGAGGACUGAGACUUUGGCUUCUACAGACCUACAGACACAGAUAUCACAUUUUAGUUCACGUUAAACCAUGGACGGAUUGAUCACAGAUCAUGUAUUGGUUAAUUUGAUAAAUGAUCAUUAAAAAAAAAUACCGUUAACAUAUGUAAUCUAUGAACUGCUGACUGAUAAAACAACUUAACAUUAAUAUUGUGUCUAAUGUAAGCUUUUUUUACUAACAUGCAUGAGAUCAGAUCAGUGUGUCAGCUCUCUCUUGUGGACAAUAAGUGUAUCUGCAUUAAUAAAAUAAUACAGCAGCAGGAGGAAAAGGCAGUUAUGUCUAAUCCUGCUCCUGUUGAGCCACUUUCCUGAGUUUAACUCCAACCUGAUUAAAAACACAUGGAACAGCUAAUCAAGGUCUUUAGGAUUACUAGAAAAUUACAGGCAGGUUUAUUGGGUUCUAUGUUUCUAAUUCAUAUAAAACUUGAUUUCAAUAAACAAACGAUGCUGUUCACAAGUUGUGUUGGUGUUAUCAGUUUAAUGCAUUUAAACACAAGACUGACAUUUGACAGACUUUAGUUAAUAAAUAGAUUGUAUUUUUUUUUCCCGCAACAGUUUAUUUGGUACAAUAUUUCACUUAUUACUCAUCAAACAGAUUUAAUAUAAGCAUAUUCCCCUGCAACAUCUCAUAACAAAGAAUCUUUCUAGUCCCGCUAUGAGGCUUAAGCUCAGAAUGAGUUGAUCAAGCUGAGAUGAGCACUGAUGAAUCCUGUGGAUAAUGAAUUGUUUUUAUCCAAAAGAAAUUUAAUCGUAACCAAUUUUUUUAGUGGUUAGCUGUGGUAUCUCUAAAAGAGCUGUUGGCUCACGGAGACAAAAGCAAGAUGACCCAUAAAAAAAUAAAUACAUUUACACAAUUCUUUUCAUAUUUCUAUGUGACAAAAAUUAGCUCUUAAAGCUCAGUGGAUUGAGCCUUGUGUUUUCACAUGUGCUGAAAUCCCACUACAAAAAAAAAACCUGAUGAUGUGGUUUAAAUGCAGGUCUUUUAAGAACAAAACUACAACAGAGGCAAAUUCAAAUCUCAUAAAUGCAAUAAUCUCUUUCUGUUUUAACAAUGUAAAUUUACAAGACACAAAAUCACAAAUCUGUGGCACAGAGGUUAAUCAUUUGCCUUAAAAGUCCUCAAUAUCACGAUCAAAUCAUAGUUGAAAUCCACAGAGUCAGUGUCUCAGAAGAUUAAAAAUGUUACAUGUGUUAAACUGUAGUAGUAUUAAUGCUGUGUCUGUAGGAGGUAAAGCGUUGUUUUUUUAAUCUUGGAGGCCUGAGCUCAAAUCUCAAUAUUACUUGUGUUAACUUGCAGCUCUCAAUUAAUGCUGUAGCUAAACAUAACAUCUAAAUGACCCCUGAAACAAACUUUUGCAACAAACACCCUCAGCUCUGUGGCUUAGUGGUUGAGCGUUUGCUUCCCAAACACAGUGCUUCCCACAAAGCCUGUCAUUAAAUCCAACAAAGUGCCCCAAACAACAGCCCUCAUUGUGAAAGCCACGAUGGCACUAGUGGUUAAACACAUUGGUUGAGAACAAGGUUAUGGUAAAGGCUUGGGUUCAAAUCCUGCUCCAGCAUGUUUAAACUUUCACUGGUUUAUGUCACAGGUGAACGGUGAAAUAUAAGUUCUUUUACAUGUUCACACUAGAGAUCUGUGGCUCACAGGUAAGAGUACUGCCUCAUGGUUCAGAGGUGUCUCAUGGUUCAGCUGGUUCAAUUCCAGUCAGAUCUCUGCUAUAUGAGUGAAGGAGUGAUUCGAAAUAUACUCUGCCAAAGCUUUAACUAGUUUAUUGUAAAAGCACAUGUAGGUUAAUAGUGAAAUAUAAGUUCCUUCACAUUCAACAAAGUGCCACAAAAGCCAGGCACAAAAUGUGAAAACCACAAUGGGUUGGUGGUUAAUCAGAUGUUUUCGGAUGAUAAGACUGUGAUUGAGGCAUGGGUUCAAAUCCCACCUCAGUGACAACAAUCAGCCAACUGAUAGCUUUAACUGUUUUAUUAUAAAAGCACAUGCAGGUGAACAGUGAAAUAUAAGUUCCUUCACACACUCAGACAAGAGAUCUGUGGCUCACAGGUAAGAGCACUGCCUCACGGUUCAGAGGUUGCUGGUUCGAUCCCAGCCAGAUCUCCGCGAUAUGAGUGAGUGUUGUGUGAAUGAAGGGAUGGGGACGAUUUGGGUCCCCCCCGAGCCCCGGCACCAUGUCCAGC